RNAcentral lists this ribosomal RNA (279 nucleotides) under uncultured bacterium. Its description in RNAcentral is "partial 16S ribosomal RNA". It matches the Rfam family "Bacterial small subunit ribosomal RNA", at positions 29 to 332 of the family's 1533-position model. The record is from RNAcentral.
AGCGAACGCUGGCGGCAGGCCUAAAACAUGCAAGUCGAACGCCGUAGCAAUACGGAGUGGCAGACGGGUGAGUAACACGUGGGAACGUACCCUUUGGUUCGGAACAACACAGGGAAACUUGUGCUAAUACCGGAUAAGCCCUUACGGGGAAAGGAUUUAUCGCCAGAGGAUCGGCCCGCCGUCUGAUUAGCUUGUUGGUGGAGGUAACGGCUCACCAAGGCUACGAUCAGUAGCUGGUCUGAGAGGAUGAUCAGCCACACUGGGACUGAGACACGGCCC